Molecule: ribosomal RNA, 497 nt
Filed under: uncultured bacterium
Lineage: Bacteria
Description: partial 16S ribosomal RNA
Rfam family: Bacterial small subunit ribosomal RNA
Source: RNAcentral
GACGAACGCUGGCGGCGUGCCUAAUACAUGCAAGUUGAGCGCUGAAGGUUGGUACUUGUACCAACUGGAUGAGCAGCGAACGGGUGAGUAACGCGUGGGGAAUCUGCCUUUGAGCGGGGGACAACAUUUGGAAACGAAUGCUGAUACCGCAUAAAAACUUUAAACACAAGUUUUAAGUUUGAAAGAUGCAAUUGCAUCACUCAAAGAUGAUCCCGCGUUGUAUUAGCUAGUUGGUGAGGUAAAGGCUCACCAAGGCGAUGAUACAUAGCCGACCUGAGAGGGUGAUCGGCCACAUUGGGACGGAGACACGGCCCAAACUCCUACGGGAGGCAGCAGUAGGGAAUCUUCGGCAAUGGACGAAAGUCUGACCGAGCAACGCCGCGUGAGUGAAGAAGGUUUUCGGAUCGUAAAACUCUGUUGGUAGAGAAGAACGUUGGUGAGAGUGGAAAGCUCAUCAAGUGACGGUAACUACCCAGAAAGGGACGGCUAACUACGUG